Molecule: ribosomal RNA, 329 nt
Filed under: uncultured eukaryote
Lineage: Eukaryota
Description: partial 18S ribosomal RNA
Rfam family: Eukaryotic small subunit ribosomal RNA
Source: RNAcentral
CCCUUAGAUGUCCUGGGCCGCACGCGCGCUACACUGAGUGUCUGAGAUACGAGUCUGCCUGGUCCGGCAAGGUCUAGGUAAUCGCUAAAAGACACAUCAUGCUUGGGAUAGAUUAUUGCAAAUAUUAAUCUUGAACGAGGAAUUCCUAGUAAGCGCAAGUCAACAGCUUGCGUUGAUUACGUCCCUGCCCUUUGUACACACCGCCCGUCGCUACUACUGAUUGGAUGUUUAAGCGAGGUUCUCGAACUGCUAGCGACUUAGCUUCGGUGAGGUCGCUGUGUGGGAAGUGAACCUAGCUUUGGUGUCUAGAGGAAGUAAAAGUCGUAACA